CUACGGGCUGCUCCAGUAGGGAAUCUUAGACAAUGGGGGAAACCCUGAUCUAGCCAUGCCGCGUGAGUGAUGAGGGCCUUAGGGUUGUAAAGCUCUUUCGCUGUGGAAGAUAAUGACGGUACCCAGUAAAGAAACCCCGGCUAACUCCGUGCCAGCAGCCGCGGUAAUACGGAGGGGGUUAGCGUUGUUCGGAAUUACUGGGCGUAAAGCGCGCGUAGGCGGGCUAUUAAGUCAGGGGUGAAAUCCCGGGGCUCAACCCCGGAACUGCCUUUGAUACUGGUAGUCUUGAGUUCGAGAGAGGUGAGUGGAAUUCCGAGUGUAGAGGUGAAAUUCGUAGAUAUUCGGAGGAACAUCAGUGGCGAAGGCGACUCACUGGCUCGAUACUGACGCUGAGGUGCGAAAGUGUGGGGAGCAAACAGGAUUAGAUACCCUCGUAGUC
Molecule: ribosomal RNA, 439 nt
Filed under: uncultured bacterium
Lineage: Bacteria
Description: partial 16S ribosomal RNA
Rfam family: Bacterial small subunit ribosomal RNA
Source: RNAcentral